GACGAACGCUGGCGGCGUGCUUAACACAUGCAAGUCGAACGGAAAGGCCGUGCUUUUGUGGGGUGCUCGAGUGGCGAACGGGUGAGUAACACGUGAGUAACCUGCCCUUGUCUUUGGGAUAACUUCAGGAAACUGGGGCUACUACCCGAUAGGAGCUCCUGCUGCAAGGUGGGGGAUGGAAAGUUUAGGCGGUUGGGGAUGGACUUGAGGCUUAUGAGCUGGUUGGGUGGGUAGUGGGUUACCAAGGCAUUGACGGGUAGCCGGUCUGAAAGGGUGACCGGCCACAGUGGGACUGGGAUACGGCCCAGACUCCAACGAGACGGAACAGUGGGGAAGAUUACACUAUGGGCGGAAGCCUGAUGCAGCAACGCCGCGUGCGGGAAGACGGCCUUCGGUUUGUAAACCGCUUUCGCCUGUGACGAAGCGUGAGUGACGGUAAGGGGUAAAGAAGCACCGGCUAACUACGUG
Molecule: ribosomal RNA, 468 nt
Filed under: uncultured bacterium
Lineage: Bacteria
Description: partial 16S ribosomal RNA
Rfam family: Bacterial small subunit ribosomal RNA
Source: RNAcentral